GACGAACGCUGGCUGCGUGCCUAAUACAUGCAAGUAGAACGCUGAAGAGAGGAGCUUGCUCUUCUUGGAUGAGUUGCGAACGGGUGAGUAACGCGUAGGUAACCUGCCUUGUAGCGGGGGAUAACUAUUGGAAACGAUAGCUAAUACCGCAUAACAAUGGAUGACACAUGUCAUUUAUUUGAAAGGGGCAAAUGCUCCACUACAAGAUGGACCUGCGUUGUAUUAGCUAGUGGGUGAGGUAACGGCUCACCUAGGCGACGAUACAUAGCCGACCUGAGAGGGUGAUCGGCCACACUGGGACUGAGACACGGCCCAGACUCCUACGGGAGGCAGCAGUAGGGAAUCUUCGGCAAUGGGGGCAACCCUGACCGAGCAACGCCGCGUGAGUGAAGAAGGUUUUCGGAUCGUAAAGCUCUGUUGUAAGUCAAGAACGAGUGUGAGAGUGGAAAGUUCACACUGUGACGGUAGCUUACCAGAAAGGGACGGCUAACUACGUGCCAGCAGCCGCGGUAAUACGUAGGUCCCGAGCGUUGUCCGGAUUUAUUGGGCGUAAAGCGAGCGCAGGCGGUUUGAUAAGUCUGAAGUUAAAGGCUGUGGCUCAACCAUAGUUCGCUUUGGAAACUGUCAAACUUGAGUGCAGAAGGGGAGAGUGGAAUUCCAUGUGUAGCGGUGAAAUGCGUAGAUAUAUGGGAGGAACACCGGUGGCGAAAGCGGCUCUCUGGUCUGUAACUGACGCUGAGGCUCGAAAGCGUGGGGAGCGAACAGGAUUAGAUACCCUGGUAGUCCACGCCGUAAACGAUGAGUGCUAGGUGUUGGAUCCUUUCCGGGAUUCAGUGCCGCAGCUAACGCAUUAAGCACUCCGCCUGGGGAGUACGACCGCAAGGUUGAAACUCAAAGGAAUUGACGGGGGCCCGCACAAGCGGUGGAGCAUGUGGUUUAAUUCGAAGCAACGCGAAGAACCUUACCAGGUCUUGACAUCCCGAUGCUAUUUCUAGAGAUAGAAAGUCACUUCGGUACAUCGGUGACAGGUGGUGCAUGGUUGUCGUCAGCUCGUGUCGUGAGAUGUUGGGUUAAGUCCCGCAACGAGCGCAACCCCUAUUGUUAGUUGCCAUCAUUCAGUUGGGCACUCUAGCGAGACUGCCGGUAAUAAACCGGAGGAAGGUGGGGAUGACGUCAAAUCAUCAUGCCCCUUAUGACCUGGGCUACACACGUGCUACAAUGGUUGGUACAACGAGUUGCGAGUCGGUGACGGCAAGCUAAUCUCUUAAAGCCAAUCUCAGUUCGGAUUGUAGGCUGCAACUCGCCUACAUGAAGUCGGAAUCGCUAGUAAUCGCGGAUCAGCACGCCGCGGUGAAUACGUUCCCGGGCCU
This 1370-nucleotide ribosomal RNA is filed under the name uncultured bacterium. RNAcentral's name for it is "bacterial SSU rRNA". It matches the Rfam family "Bacterial small subunit ribosomal RNA", at positions 28 to 1381 of the family's 1533-position model. The record is from RNAcentral.